UUAUAGCUCUGGAGCGAUACAGUGAAGGGGACUGAGGUUUUCGCAGCGUGUGCUCUCGGGCAAGGCUGGAUGGGUGCUAUGGGAUCGUUCGGGGUACAAUGCCUGGCAUUUUGCUUCGUGUCUUUUCUAUACUCGCUCAACUCAGCUCUUCCACGCUUAGGAUGUUGACUUAAUGGUUUUAAACGA
This 186-nucleotide ribosomal RNA is filed under the name Podila verticillata. RNAcentral's name for it is "Mortierella verticillata partial large subunit ribosomal RNA". The record is from RNAcentral. Lineage: Eukaryota; Fungi; Mortierellomycota; Mortierellomycetes; Mortierellales; Mortierellaceae.